AACAUAGCACUUGUCUACCGGGCACUGUAGAGCAGGAUGAGGAAAAGCCAGGAUCCAUCUCAGGGGAAGAAGGGCGAGGGGGCAAUGUGUCUCCCUUUCUGACAGUUGGUUUUCUCCCGGGAAGGGGAACAUGCAAAGUUAUGUCUGGAUUCUGGAAGUGGGAGGAGAUCUUGGAGGCCGAGAAGCCCAAUGCAGCACUGCAGCUCGGCUCCCUUUAUCUCUGAGGGAAGCAGGGACUCCUCUUUCACUCAUCUGUAACACGUCACUCUGGCCCAGCUGAUGCUUUGGGGAAACGGGGACAGGGGUCAUCAUCGAAUUAGCAGCAAUUAAGAACAGGCCAUACACUGCCACAGUGUGGAGGUGUCAUCCUGGCCCCAGGGACCUGAAAGCACAAACAAUAUUUUGAGACUACGGUUAUUAUCCCCACUUUACAGAGAAAGAAACUAAGGCUUAGAAAGAUGAAGACAUUUAGCCAAGUGGCGGAGGUGGAGGAUUCACACUCAGGUCUGCCAGAUCCCACCGUAUGUGUGAUGGGCUGCUUGUACGGAGGUGGAGAAAGGCCCAAGAGACGUUGGUUGAAUGAAUGAAGGGGGUGUGUGUGUGAAGGGAAAUGAACUAAGAGCCUGAGGUUGAAGGAGGGAGGAGGGGGAGAAGGAGGGAGCCUGGACCCACUCAUUCAAUAAAUAUUCCUUGGGUGCCUACACAAUAACGUGCCAAGCACUGUUCCGGGGCACUGCGUGUACAGUUGUGAACAGGACAAAGUCUGCCACAAGGGGCUUUCUAGUGGGGAAACAGAAAUCCACCAAGAAAGGAGACACGCAAAUAAGAUCACCUCACAUGGUGGUAAGUGCUGUGAUGAAAAUAAAACACGGUAGCAGGGAGGAGGCGAGUUUUGUGGCUCUGGAGGGGUGCAUGGAGAAAGGGCCUGAGGCAUGACCACCCCUUCCUCUCCGGGGGGACUGCCUGUCCUCCCCCACAGACGCCCAUGGUUCAGUGCCCACCAGGUCCCCGCCUGCCCCAGCAUCCCCCGCGCGGCGAAGCUGGGUGCCCCGGGGAGUCUGGCCACCAUGCCACCUCCUCUCCUCCUCUUCUUCCUCCACCUGUUCCUUACCCCCAUGGGAGUCAGGCCCCAGGAAACACACCUACUGGAGGCUAAAGAGGGAGGCAAUGCUGUGCUGCCAUGCCUUGACGGUCUCUCAGAUGGUCCCCCUGAGCAACUGGCCUGGUUUCGGGGCUCCCAAUCAACACCCUUCUUAGAGCUGAGCCUAGGGUUACCAGGCCUGGGCAUCCAUGUGGGGCCCCUGGGCACCCUGAAGGAGCCCCAGGGAACCUUGCUGUUCAUCUUCAAUGUCUCCGACCAGAUGGGGGGCUUCUACCUGUGCCAGCGAGGCCCCUUUUCUGAGCAAGCCUGGCAGCCUGGCUGGACGGUCAGCGUGAAGGGCAGCGGAGAACUGUUCCGGUGGAAUGCUUCAGACCUAAAUGACCCAAGCUGUGGCCUGCGGAACAGGUCCUCAGAGGGCCCCAGGCCCUCUUCUGGUCACCCCACAAGGUCCCAGGUCUAUGUGUGGGCCAAGAACAACCCUAAGAUCUUACACACAGACUCUGCCUGUGCCCCACCUAACGGCACUUUGAACCAGAGCAACAACCAUGACCUCACGGUGGCCCCUGGCUCCACACUCUCGCUGUCCUGUGGGGCAUCCCGUACCUCACUGGCCAGAGGCCCCAUCUCCUGGAUCCAUGUGCGUCCCGAGAAGCCUAGGAUCAAAUUGCUGAGCCUAAACCUGAAUGAGGAUGCCCAACUCAGAGAGAUGUGGGUCAUGGGCACCCUCGGGGGAAAGGCUGUUCUGUUGCUGCCCGAGACCACAGCUCAAGAUGCUGGCAUCUAUCACUGUAACCAUGGCAACGUGACCACCCAGAUGCAGCUGAAGGUCACUGCCCAGUCAGUAUGGCAUUGGCUACUGGAGACUGGUGGCUGGAUAGUCCCUGUUGUGACUUUAGUUUAUCUGAUCUUCUGCCUGGCUUCCCUGGUGGGCUUUCUUCAUCUUCGAAGAGCCCUGAUCCUGAGGAGGAAAAGAAAGCGAAUGACAGAUCCCACUAGAAGGUUCUUCAAAGUGACGCCUCCCCCGGGAAACGGGGCCCAGAACCAGUACGGGAACAUGCUCUCCCUCUCCACUCCCCACUCAGGCACGGGACGCGCCCUGCGGUGGGCUGCGGGCCUGGGAGCCACCGUGCCGCCCUACGGAAAUCCGCGCAGCGACGUCCAGGAGGCCAGAGCCUCGGAGUCCCGGAGCCCACCAGGGACCGGCCCAGAAGAAGAGGAAGGGGAGGCCUAUGAGGAGCCGGACAGUGAGGAGGGCUCCGAGUUCUACGAGAACGACUCCAACCUUGGGCAGGACCAGCUCUCCCAGGAUGGCAGCGGCUAUGAGAACCCUGAGGAAGGGGUCUUGGGUCCUGAGGAUGAAGACUCCUUCUCCAAUGCAGCUGAAUCUUACGAGAAUGAGGAUGAAGAACUGGCCCAGCCAGUUGCCAGGACAACAGACUUCCUGAGCCCCCAUGGGUCAGCCUGGGACCCCAGCAGGGAGGCAACCUCCCUUGGGUCCCAGUCCUAUGAGGAUAUGAGAGGGAUCCUGUAUGCAGUCCCCCAGCUCCGCUUUGUUCAAGCCCAGCCUGGUCCCAGUCAUGAAGAAGAUGCAGACUCUUAUGAGAAUAUGGAUAAUCCCGAUGGACCAGAACCAGCAUGGGGAGGAGGGGGCCACAUGGGCACCUGGAGCAACUAGAUGAUUCCCUUCAGGUGCAGUUGUGUAGAUGGAAAACUGAGGGUUAGAGAGGCCAAGUCAUGCAAGUAGCACUUCACAGAGCUGAAUCCAGAAAUCUGGCUGCUGUUCUAGCCAUGGUGCCUGCUGCCUGCUCCAGUGCUCUUCUGAAACCCAGGAUUGGCAUCUGAAACCUAGUCCCUCUCCUCCAGAAGUUUCAACGCUCUCUGCUCCGGACGCGCAGGCCCAGCGGCCAUGGCUCACGGGCCCAGCCACUCCGCGGCACGUGGGAUCCUCCUGGACCGGGACAUGAACCCGUGUCCCCUGCAUCGGCAGGCGGACUCUCAACCACUGCGCCACCAGGGAAGCCCUAGAAUUCCUUUUCUUAAUGUACCUGUUCUUUCUUCAUAAUGUCCUGUGUUUGUUUUUGAGACUCUAUUCCUUCUUUAUCUCGGAACCUUUAAAACUUACUUUAACUGUAUUAACGCCAUUAUGAUGUGCCAGGCAUUGUUCUAAUAAAUGCUUUACAAGUAGCAGCCCAUUUUAUCUUCAUGACAAUUCUAUGAGGAAGGUACGCUAAAAUUAUUAUCACCUUAGAGCUGAGAAGACUGCGGCACAGAGAAAUUAAAUACUUCAGCUGCUAGCUGACUUUAGGCACCUUACUCAAGCUCAAUGGCCCUCAGUGUUCCCAGUUAUAACGUAGCAUUAGGGAGGAGGCGAUUAUCACCAUCUGUACAAUGGGGUGAAGCCUCCCAUGGUGUAUCACCAUGGAAGCGUUCUUUGGCUUCUUUGUGUUUCUCCUGCAGGAGUCCUUUGCCUCACUCACAUCUUCUGGGGCCAGCUUGCUUUGGCUUCUGCCACAGUCUUACAGGCUACACAGGUUUCUGACCAUUUUAUUUAGAGCAGGCUUUUGCCCUAGGGGUUUGGUCUGACUCCAAGCCCAUACUCUGGUGACUCUGGGGAUUCUGAUUCCCUGCAGUGACUUUUUCCAAACUGCAUCCCAAGGCCUGUGGAUGGAUUGUUUUCCCCUCUGUCUUCUGUGCCCAGGAGAGACAGUCCUUUCUCAGCUCCCAGCUUUGCACAUGGGGCUUAGUUUCAGCAGCCAGAUUUCUGGAUUCCAUCUCUGCUCUUCCUGGGGCCUCAGCCUUAACCUCUGUCCCCAUGGGGACAUUAAAACUCCAAUCCUAGGGGUCCCAGCAUUCCCAUGCGCUGCCCUCUCAAUGUUGUAGCUUUGAUUUCCUUCGUUAUUUCUAGAACCAGGGAGAUUCUGUCCUGCUUUUGAGCUCAGGUAUCUAUUAAGAAAAAGAAAAGAAGGAAAGCGAUGCCUCUUGUUAUAUUUGCAUAGUGUACGUUUGGAAUGCAGGGGAUGGGAAAUGAAACUUCAGCAUUUCCUUGGCCUUCCCUCUUGGACACAGUCCCUGUGGCAGAAACAAAAUUAAAAAAAUAAUAAUAAAUAUCCCAGAUCUAGCUCAGGAUUCACACCCUGACCUGACCUUACCCUUCAGCUAAUGUAAGCUUUCCAUAUUGCCAAAGUCCCCACCAUUCCCUAUUGCCUUUCACCCAGUCUGCUUCAUUCAUGUUGGUCUCCUGCCUGUGCCUGAAUCAUUUGAACAUGACACUCCUGGUGAAAACAUCCUACCUUCUCAAGGGUGAAUCCAUGUCUGGGUCUUCUCUGUGCCCCUGGUACCCAGCCAGGGGAUGGCAAAGAUCAGGAGCUCAGGAAAUGAGUGGAGAAGGAGGAGUGAAUGAAGGACUGUGCCAAGUCCUGAGAUUCAGGGGCCAGAGGCUGGAGCUACUCCUGUGAGCUCUGCUACCCAGCGAAGUCUUGGGAGAAGAUGAGGAACAGAGGUAUGCUAACUCCAGCCCAGUGCUCUGGAAUUAGACUACCUGAGUUUGAAUCCCAGCUCCAACCCUUUCUGGCUGUGUGACUCAAACUCUCUGUGCUGCAGUUUCCUGGUCUGUAGAACAGGGAUAAUAAUGAUAGCUACCUUGGUGAAUCUUAAAUGAGAUGUAAAGCACAUGACAGUAGCAUAGUAGGCACUCGAACAUUAGCUAUUAUUAUUAUUUGGCAUUUAUUAAGGGCCUACUGUGUCCCAGGAGCCAGAGGGCACACAGAAUAUUUGGAUUAGGAAUUCCUCCAGUGCAGGGACCUGCUCAGAAGAAAGCCACACUCCAAAGCUUCACAAAUUCCCACCCCAUGACCUGUUUCUUUGGCAGGGACUGGAUCACUUAUAGUUCCUGAACAAGAUUUAGGGACAAGGAGGCUUGAGAGAGGUUUCAGGCCCUCAGGGUCACCCCUAGUUUGCAGGGGCCUCCCAGGUAGGGACCGAGGCUGCAGAAGGGCUUUUGGUGUAAUCUCUAUGCUUCCAGCCUUACUAUAAAGAGUGGAUGAAGAGUUCCCAGGGCUAGGAGGUCCUUGGAGUCCACUCUGCCAGGUCCAGAGCCUUUGUUCCUUGGGGAACAGCCUCACCUGCUGGGGUUGUGUGCUUUCAGUCUUGACCUUGGCUGAGUCUACGUGGAGCACUUGAAGUGUGGGCUGAGUUGGGCUGUGUGUUUAGGGGAUAUCAGUGUAGGAGAGGAGGGGGAUGGGAUGGGAUGGGAUGUGGGUGGUCAUCAAGAUGCUGUACUGGGGGAGCUUCCCUGGUGGCGCAGUGGUGAAGAAUCCGCCUGCCAAUGCAGGGGACACGGGUUUGAGCCCUGGUCUGGGAAGAUCCCACAUGCCGCGAGCAACUAAGCCUGUGUGCCACAACUACUGAGCCCGCGUGCCACAACUACUGAAGCCCGAGCGCCUAGAGCCCGUGCUCCGCAACAAGAGAAGCCACCACAAUGAGAAGCCCGCGCACUGCAACGAAGAGUAGCCCCCGCUCGCCGCAACUACAGAAAUCCCGCGUGCAGCAACAAAGACCCAACGCAGCCAAAAAAAAAAAAGAUGCUGUACUGGGACUUCCCUGGUGGCGCAGUGGUUAAGAAUCUGCCUGCCAAUGUAGGGAACACGGCUUUGAGCCCUGGUCCGGGAAGAUUCUACAUGCCACAGAGCAACUAAGCCUGUGCACUGCAACUACUGAGCCUGCGCUCUAGAGCCCAUGAGCCACAACUACUGAAGCCCGCACGCCUAGAGCCCAUGCUCCGCGACAAGAGAAGCCACCGCAAGGAGAAGCCCGCGCACUGCAACGAAGAGUAGCCCCCACGCGUCGCAACUAGAGAAAGCCCGCGUGCAGCAAUGAAGACCCAACACAGCCAAAAAUAGAUAAAUUAAUUAAUUUGUAAAAAAAAAAAAAAGAUGCUGUACUGGAUGGAUGUGUGAAGUACAAGUUAUGUGAACGUUAAGUGUGUGAGAGACAGGUGGUAUUGGGUGUAUGCCGUGUGGAUGUUAUGUGUGAAGUAUAGUGUGGCGUGUAUAGUGUGAGGUGUCAGGGGAGUGAAAAUUAAUAAAAGGAAACCUCACUAAAAUGGAGUCUGAAGGGGGAGCUUUCAUGCUGUACCACUUGUCAUCAAUUACAGGAAGAACUGUCAGUUAAAGACCCCAACAGAAGAAUCAUGGACAGGAAAGAAUCAUCAAUUACAGGUCCCAACAGGAAAAGAUGUACAUUAAAUCUCCUAGAAGAAAUCCACUACCCGAGCAACUCAGGCAAUGAGAAACCAUCAUCACCCUGAACUUUCACAUUUCUCCAAUGGACUUUCCUUCAAAACGACCCCUCCCAAUGUCCUCCCUUUUCUCUAUAAAAUAACCUUCUUUGUUGGACUUGCCUAUGGCUUUCGCUAAAGAUUCCUUGUCCCAAAUUGCAAUUCCUCUGCUAUUCCUGAAUAAACCCAUUCUU
Lagenorhynchus albirostris (white-beaked dolphin) is the source of this 6571-nucleotide RNA transcript. It is a transcript of the gene named CD19 molecule, with no coding region annotated. The transcript is spliced from 17 exons. The record is from RefSeq and is a predicted model, not a curated record. NCBI's taxonomy places the organism in Eukaryota, Metazoa, Chordata, Mammalia, Artiodactyla, Delphinidae.